This 84-nucleotide transfer RNA is filed under the name Crenobacter cavernae. RNAcentral describes it as "Crenobacter sp. K1W11S-77 tRNA-Cys". Lineage: Bacteria; Pseudomonadati; Pseudomonadota; Betaproteobacteria; Neisseriales; Neisseriaceae. The record is from RNAcentral.
CGACAAUUACAGAGCGGCCAAAGCGAUCAGACUACAAAUCUGACGGCUCUGCCUUCGAAGGUUCGAAUCCUUCUCCCUCAACCA